UACAGAGGGGGCAAGCGUUAUUCGGAAUUAUUGGGCGUAAAGAGCGUGUAGGCGGCCAGGCAGGUCCGUUGUGAAAACUGGAGGCUUAACCUCCAGACGUCGAUGGAAACCGUCUGGCUAGAGUCCGGAAGAGGAGAGUGGAAUUCCUGGUGUAGCGGUGAAAUGCGCAGAUAUCAGGAAGAACACCCGUGGCUAAGGCGGCUCUCUAGUACGGUACUGACGCUGAGACGCGAAAGCGUGGGGAGCGAACAGG
This 253-nucleotide ribosomal RNA is filed under the name uncultured bacterium. RNAcentral describes it as "partial 16S ribosomal RNA". It matches the Rfam family "Bacterial small subunit ribosomal RNA", at positions 524 to 776 of the family's 1533-position model. The record is from RNAcentral.